AGUAACACGUGGGUAAUCUGCCCUGCACUCUGGGAUAAGCCUGGGAAACUAGGUCUAAUACCGGAUAUGACAUGUCACCGCAUGGCGGUGUGUGGAAAGUUCUGGCGGUGCAGGAUGAACCCGCGGCCUAUCAGCUUGUUGGUGGGGUAGUGGCCUACCAAGGCGACGACGGGUAGCCGGCCUGAGAGGGCGACCGGCCACACUGGGACUGAGACACGGGCCAG
RNAcentral lists this ribosomal RNA (224 nucleotides) under uncultured bacterium. RNAcentral's name for it is "partial 16S ribosomal RNA". It matches the Rfam family "Bacterial small subunit ribosomal RNA", at positions 109 to 334 of the family's 1533-position model. The record is from RNAcentral.